Long non-coding RNA from Mus musculus (house mouse), 4367 nucleotides. RefSeq annotates it as predicted gene, 32016. The transcript has 3 exons. Lineage: Eukaryota; Metazoa; Chordata; Mammalia; Rodentia; Muridae. The record is from RefSeq and is a predicted model, not a curated record.
GUCCUUGGGUGGAGGAUGGGCUGCUGUGGCCUUCACUUUCACUAUCUGUCCAGCAGAGUCCAUUGAGAGAGACAGGACCCUCAGAGUUUUCCUUAACUUCAUGGGCCCGAUUUUCCAAUGGAUGAAAAAAAGAAAACCAAAUUCCUUGAUUCCUAAGGCUCCAACACACUCCAUGUCUCUAUGCAUUCUCAUUCUCAUUGGGGAUGAUGGCAAACCCUUGGGUGGAAGAGAUGUCUCUGGCAGAGCGGCAACGUGGUGCUUACAAAGCUUACAAAGAGACCAGUCCACUGGAAUCACCAGCACUGAACAGCUGUUAGGAAUACUGAGAGUCCUGAGAUAAUAAGGAAUCCAGACAUCCUUAGACGGUCUUCUGUUGUUCCUUCUUCCCGAUCAGCAAUUGUAGACGUGUGGGAUGACACCACCACCACCAGCAGCAAUCAUAGCCUUGACCAGAGUCCAAUUCUUCAUCUACAUGUAUAGCAAGUUGCAAAUGAUGGGGGUGGGGUGGGGUGGGGGUCCAUGGCUGGUUGUCCUAGAUGUCAGUUGUUGAUGAAUACAGCUCACAGGGAAAUGCUGCAAGUGGGAAACCACCUUUGUGUUGGCCUUUCCAGAGUCCUUUCCAGCCUUACCGCUGGCCAUCUCGGGCUGUGCUGAAGCUCAAGCGAGGAAGAGACAGGCAGAAACUCAGCGAGAUCCUGGCGCCCACUCCUCCAUCGUUCUGCCAUUCAGAUUCCCUUUAACUACAUUUUUCUGUUCUCUUGUCUUUGUACUCGCCCGGUCAAAUUGUGUCCUGUAUUGAUUUGUGGGGUAUCUGAUAUCUAGUCUUGUCCUUGGCCCUAGCACCUUGGUCUAUGUUUGGACUUGUGUGUAUGUACAUGUUCCUAUAUGAGCAGGUUUAUGUACAGGUGUACAUCUUCCUAUGGAAAGAUAUAUGUCUACAUGUCUGCAUGUGAGCGUGCACACAUAUGUGUGUGUUCAUGUGAUGUGCGCACAAGUGUAGACCAGAGUUUAAUUAUAGGUAUAAAGAUGACGGGAGCCAUCUACUUUGCUUUUUGAGACAAGAUCUUUCAUUGGGGCUUGUUGAGUAACCUAACCCUGUUGGCCAGAGAACUCCGGAGAGCCUUCUGUCUCUUCCUCCCCAGCACUCCAUGGAAUCUGUCUUUUUAACACGGAUUCUAGUGCUCGGAAUGACUGACUGAGCUGUCUUGUCCAGUCUUCCAUGUUUGAACUUCCAUGGGACAUACUUGUUUUAAUCAACACCAUCUUGAUUCAGUAAACUACCCGUGGUUCCAAUAACAGCCUCAUCUUAAAGCCGGGACAUGACAGUUGGCAGGAAGCCUCCGUGUUUCCCAUUGUAUUGUUUCUUUUUCACUCCAAAGUAAUCUCUGCUUUGAUUUGGGGUUAGGGAUUUUGAGCCAUUGGCAAAGGGUCAUUUGCAUCAUUGCUGUCGUCAGGGAAAUAAGGCAGUUUCAUCUCUCUGUGACCUUGAGCAGAGGAUGCAGUGUCCCCAAGGUCUCCAGUACUUUCUUGAGUCUCAGCCCCUGAUUUCCAGAAUGCCUGCUGGGUACCUGUGCUGCAGAUUCGUUCUCACAGUCUCCCUUCCUUAUUGCUCUCGUUCAAUCAACGUCAAGUGCUCCGGCUUCUACUGUCUAAAUACCUCUUAAAUCAAUCACUCCCGAAUGGGCUCUGCAGCCACAGCCUUAGCUCAGACUUGACAUUCCUUCCUGGCAUUAUUGCCUCUCAGCCUCCUGCCUGCUCUCCUUGCCAUUGUCUUCCUCAUCUACCUCAGCCCUCCAUAUUACAGCCACAGCUAUCUUUCUCAGAAUCACAUCUGCUGUUGCUUGGUUGUAAGACUUUCAGUGAGUCUCCAUCCUCUUUAGUGUGGCAUACAAGGGCUUUCCUGGUUUGGCCUGUUUUCCUGAAUUUCUUUUUCUCCUGGCAUACCCCUUUUCAUUCCAUAGUCUAGCCACGCUGCGCAUCACAUCAGGGUCUUGACAUGCUAUUAGCACCUGCAUCUGUAUUGCUUCUAUAUAGACUCUGCCCUCAGACUGGACUACCCUCUUUGUCUUUUUGAGCUCCCUACCUGGCUAACAGUCUGUACUCCAGACCAGGCUGAACUGCCCCCUCUUCCGUGAAGCCCCCCUGACUCCACGGGAGGGGGUCAGCCUACCUUGCCUCUCCCCUCUUACAUGUCUCUUCUGUCAUCCACCAGAUUGAUUGAUUUGUAAUUAUUUGCCCAUAUGCACCCCUCCCUCAUCGAAUAAGGCUUCCCUGAGUGCAGGAACUCAACUCGUAGCACAAAGUCUGGCACAGGCUGUAGGUGUUCAAUACCCCUUGCUGACUGAAAGUGGGAAGUUCGCUAGAUGAGCAGGAAGGGUUUGCAGGGAAGCACGUGGAGCGGGGAGGAGACAGAAAGGUGUGUCCUCACAAUGUCCCUACCGGUUAUCUAUCAUAGAUUUCCAGGGACACUCCUAAUGUAAAAUAUUUAUUCCUGCUUUCUUUUCAUGUCCACCUAUCCACAAGUCAGAUGAAACCCUUUGUCUAACCACGCGCUUCUGGCUCAACUGUAGACAGCAGCAGCGUGACAACUGCUGGAGCCGAGCUGGUACAAAACAGUUCUGUGCCUCUUCCCCAUGCCUUCUCUUUUGCGUAUUGCUGCCUUUCCACGCCUCGGCUCCAUUUUGCAGAGCUCUGUGGGUUCCCAAGGCAUUGCGAUUUGAGGUCUGAGUGAUACUCCUUUGAAGAUGUGAUCUGAAGCACGGGAGCCUAUGAGGUUCCUUAUGGGUAAUCUUACUGGCUGGAGUGGCCAAGAGAAAAAUCCACCUAUGUGUCCUGGGAGCAGCCCUCAUCUCUGCAGUCCCAGGGGAUUUGGCAUUUAGCUGGCUUCUAUUUAGCUUGCAAUGUUUUUUUUUGGUUUUUUUUUGUUUUUUUUUUUUGUCCAAUUCUAAUACAUGGCUUUAUGUGUUUAGCUUGUGUACAAAGUUUAUGCUCAUAAAUGGCUUCUCUUCUGUCUAGAGGGACUGUGAGUCCUGGGCUAGAGCCUGUGAACAGAGCAUAAUGUAAUUCUGGUGUUUUAUUAACCGUAAUAACCAGAAAUCUCCAGCCACUAAUAUAUCUGCAUAGAGGUUUGUCUGGAUUUCCAGUUAUUUUUACUUUCAGCACAAACUGGACAGAAAAUUCAUUUCAAUGCAGUUGAGCUUUUUAUUCGUCCUAAGCUGAGAUUAAGUCAUCUGCCUUGUGAACCGUGAGGCCAAGGGCAGGAGAGUAAGUGCCUGGGCUUCUCUUCCUGGCACCAGGGGAGGUCCCUGGGGCCAUGUGGGUUGCAUAGGCUUAGAGGAGUUAUUUUUCCAUUUUUUUACCACCUUUGAAACUGACGUCUUAGUACUCAGCUUCUGUCCUAGGAACCGAAAGGAAAAAAAAAAAAAAGACCCAGAGAUUUACUCCCAGUGUUUAGGCCCACACUGGUGCUAUUUCUUUUAUCUUUAAAUUAGAAAACAGAAAACAAACCACAUUCUGCUCAGUGCUGGGAGUGACUCAGUUGGAAAAGCACUUGCCUUGCAAGCAUGAGGACCGUGGUUCCCAGCACCCAGGGAAAAGUGCUGGACAUGGCGGCGUGCACUUAUGCACACUCACCACUGAGGACAUGGAAGUGGACACAGAAGGAUCCCCGGGGCCUGACUGGGGAACUCUGGGCCAAUGAGAGACCCCAUCUCAAAAGAGGUGCAUGGGCAUUCCCGAGGAUGACACCCUCAGGCAUCCCCAUGCAACUGCACGCAUGUGAAUGAUCACCUUCACACACCAGAACAUGCAUGCACACACGUGUGCAUUAAGCCUCUGUCUAUCCCUCAAUGAGUGAUAACAUUGAUUGAUUCUCUGGCUGUGGAUGACUUUAAACUCGGGAUGUUAUUGAUUUUUUUUUCUCUUUAUAAAGCUUUUCUAUAAAGUAAAAACCUGACGACCUUAAGUUACAAAGUUUGAGUUAAAUUAUGAGCCUUUUAGCUUUGCAUUAGAAGUGGUAUCUGGAACCUGAUUUGCUAGAUCAGACCACAUUAGUUGUGUUAUGUUAUUUUCUAAAAACACAUUUCAGAGAAAUAACUCCAAUCUGCGUUGCAUUUUAUAGAGCAAAAUAAUUGAAUGGCGGCUGUUUGUAAUUUUAGCAAUCUCUUAACCUUAAUCAUAUUUAAUGGCUUUUCUCUUCAGGCUAACAGGAGAGAGAGAAAAAAGGUUCCAGCUCCCUUGUAUAACGGCGUGACAGUAAUGCACCCUGGUCCUCGGCAGCCCAGUAAAUUCCUCCUCUCUGAAUUGUUGGUUCGGGACAAUCAUUCAGCGGGGAAUUACUUUCUCAUCUAUGAAAUAAAUGAGAUGUU